CUGUCUCAUUUAAUAUUUGAAUUUUAUAUUUUAGUAAAAAAGCUAGAAUAAGAUUUAGAGACGAGAAGACCCUAUCAAACUUUAUAAUCAAGAUUUUACUUUCGAAGUAUGAAUUAAGAUUAUUUUGCUGGGGCAGCGAUUUAGAAGAUUUCUAUUUCCAUAUUAUGAUUUAUAAAUCUUGUUCGGAUCGGAAAACUUUUUAAAAAAGAAAUAAGUUACUGUAGGGAUAACGAGCGAUAAUUUUUUUAAAGAGUUCUUAUCAUCAAAGGAAGUUUGUGACCUCGAUGUUGGAUUAAGAGUCCUAAUUCACGCAAUAGUAAAAAAAGG
Molecule: ribosomal RNA, 327 nt
Filed under: aff. Euscorpiops/Scorpiops sp. 3 VO-2020
Lineage: Eukaryota; Metazoa; Arthropoda; Arachnida; Scorpiones; Euscorpiidae
Description: partial large subunit ribosomal RNA
Source: RNAcentral